AUUGAACGCUGGCGGCAGGCCUAACACAUGCAAGUCGAGCGGAUGAAGGGAGCUUGCUCCUGGAUUCAGCGUCGGACGGGGGAGUAAUGCCUAUGAAUCUGCCUGGUAGUGGGGGAUAACGUCCGGAAACGGGCGCUAAUACCGCAUACGUCCUGAGGGAGAAAGUGGGGGAUCUUCGGACCUCACGCUAUCAGAUGAGCCUAGGUCGGAUUAGCUAGUUGGUGGGGUAAAGGCCUACCAAGGCGACGAUCCGUAACUGGUCUGAGAGGAUGAUCAGUCACACGGGAACUGGGACACGGACCAGACUCCUACGGGAGGCAGCAGUGGGGAAUAUUGGACAAAGGGCGGAAGUCUGAUACAGUCAUGCCGCGUGUGUGAAGACGGUCUUCGGAUUGUGAAGCACUUUUAGUUGGGAGGAAGGGCAGUAAGUUAAUACCUUGCUGUUUUGACGUUACCAACAGAAUAAGCACCGGCUAACUUCGUG
This 484-nucleotide ribosomal RNA is filed under the name uncultured bacterium. RNAcentral's name for it is "partial 16S ribosomal RNA". It matches the Rfam family "Bacterial small subunit ribosomal RNA", at positions 30 to 507 of the family's 1533-position model. The record is from RNAcentral.